This 301-nucleotide ribosomal RNA is filed under the name uncultured bacterium. RNAcentral describes it as "partial 16S ribosomal RNA". It matches the Rfam family "Bacterial small subunit ribosomal RNA", at positions 509 to 807 of the family's 1533-position model. The record is from RNAcentral.
CAGUAGCCGCGGGAAUACGUAGGUGGCAAGCGUUGUCCGGAAUUAUUGGGCGUAAAGGGCUCGCAGGCGGUUUCUUAAGUCUGAUGUGAAAGCCCCCGGCUCAACCGGGGAGGGUCACUGGAAACUGGGAAACCUGAGUGCAGAAGAGGAGAGUGGAAUUCCACGUGUAGCGGUGAAAUGCGUAGAGAUGUGGAGGAACACCAGUGGCGAAGGCGACUCUCUGGUCUGUAACUGACGCUGAGGAGCGAAAGCGUGGGGAGCGAACAGGAUUAGAGACCCCUGUAGUCCCUGUCUCUUAUAC